GGGCGCGUAGCUCAGCGGGAGAGCACCACGUUCACACCGUGGGGGUCACAGGUUCAAUCCCUGUCGCGCCCACCA
Molecule: transfer RNA, 75 nt
Filed under: Alphaproteobacteria bacterium
Lineage: Bacteria; Pseudomonadati; Pseudomonadota; Alphaproteobacteria
Also listed under: 1 other name
Description: tRNA-Val
Rfam family: tRNA
About the family: Transfer RNA (tRNA) molecules are approximately 80 nucleotides in length.
Source: RNAcentral